UCUCUUCACAAAUUGCAAAACCUACAAGUUCUCUAAUCAUGAUAAGGGAAAUGUUCAUACAAGAUUAAUCUACAAAAUUACAGGAAAAACUAUGUACCAUUAAAGUGCUAGAGCAUAUUAUAACCCCAUCACUAAAAAUUAAGAAUUCAAGGAGUAUAACAUACUGCCACAUUCAUAUGUACAUUGUCAACGCCUUGUGGAACCCAGAAGUAGUAUUUCGCUUUUAUGAUGAUACGUCACAUUUUUUCCACAUACUUUUGUUCUUGCCUACAAAACUAUAUUUCCAUACUGUUUGAGGAAUAAAUAACUGAUGCACACAUAUCUGAAAAUAUAUACUGCAUCAAACAUGUGUGUACAUGCAGAACUAUAGCUUCCUCUUCACAAAUCCUAAAAAAUGUAUCACCUGUGCUUCAGCUUCCUCUUCGCCAAGCUUGCUUUGGAGUACUCUCUUCUCCACACUUCUCGAUGUGGGACUGGGGUGUUACACUCUUUGUCAAACCUACAUACAAUAUGGGAGUAGGACACUGAAAAGCUGUUAUUAGAGAUGCAUCCACUUGAGGGUUAUAGGAUUGAAUUUAAUAAAACUCUAUAACAUUUGUUUGCAUGUAUAACAACGUCUGUAAGCACAUUAUAUAACAAAUAACACUAUAUACUAGGAACAGAAGGGGCGCCAACAAAACUGUCUUCUUACCGCUUUCUCCAUGGUGACUCUGACACCAGUCUCCCAUUUGUCUAGACAUACCUUAGUUUGAUGGAUCACUAUAUUAGACCCUAAAAGGACAUAAACCAAUGAACUAAAUGAAACUAGAAAAAAAAAAAAACGAAUAAUAUAUUGAGAACAAGGGAACAUUGCAUCUGAUAAAGUCAAUUUAACGAAUAAUAUAUUGAGAACAAGGGAACAUUGCAUCUGAUAAAGUCAAUUUAAAAAAAUUAUAUGCGGAAGAUAACACCUAUUAGAGCAAGGAAUCUGAAAACUGAAGUUUUCAAACCAUACUACUGGCUUAAGUGUUUCAGUGGUAGAAUAGCCGAUCUAGGUCGCACGCAUUAAUUUGUUCACAACUAUAUCUAUCAAACCCUCUUCUUCCUUCCCUGUGUCAAUAAUAUUAUUGCCCCUUUCGGGUAAUAUACAUAUAAAAUAAACUGUAGAAGAUUCCUACGAAUUGUUCAAGUGAUGUUACAUAUAAGAAGAAAGUAAGGAACAGUUAAAGCUAUGUUUAAAGAGCUACUAGGAAGUUGAAUGAGUUGAACUGGAAAGAAAGAGCUACUAAUAUAGGUACCUACUUCAACUUUCAGCUGGUUUGUUAUGUAACCCAAAGAGCUCUAGAUCCAAUUCAUAUAAAGCUUAGAAUAUGUAGAAAAUAGUAGUAACUAGGAUUAGACACUUUAAUUUACAUGAAUGGAGAUAUUGUAGAAUAUCGCAGAGCUAAAGAAAAUAAAGAAGAUGCUAGUAUUGGGAUAGUAUAAAACCUAGUUAGGAGUGAAUAAUCAUAUAUAUGUAGUAGAAUCUAAUUACCUCAAUUGAUUUGGUCAAGUUUCCAUCCGUAAUUAUACAUGCGAUCUCCUGUAUUCUACUCACUUCUACACCCAGACCUACAUCAGUGACACAUUGGAAAAAUUAUAUUGACCACGUCUCAGAUCACAAAAGCCAGCUAAAUUAACCUUGUCCAACUCCUCUCAUUAAGUAGGAUAUACACAUGUCAUGGAUAAAUAUUAAAGGAAGAUGCUCUUACAAACUUUGCGGGUAGGAUUUGAAGAAUGAGCAUAAAACUAUUACUCUUAGGCCUUAGCUAAUAACAAAUAACAUAUGGAGGAUAAAGAUGGAACCAAAAGGGAGAUCUUUCAGAUUGAGCAGAAACAAAAUACGAUAUUGAAUUUCCACUAGCCUAACAAAAUGUCGCCGACUUAGGUAAAGGACGAGAAAAGCUAAAAGGUUCACUUAUCCUUUAAAAAUAGAAUUCGGACUUUAUGUGGUCACUGCUUUUAUGGGAAAUGUAGUAAUUAUAACUGAACAAACAAAUGAAGAGCAGCAAGGCAACAAGGCCAGAUAAAACAAAACUUGAGAAAGGAAUCAAAGAAGAUCGCUGUAGUGGAGUGAGCAGCUACAUAGUUGCUUAUUAAUACAGAUAUGAUCAAGGAAUCAACUACUCUUUCUAAAACCUAAGUAUAAAAAUUCUAAGUCUUCUCAAUGACUUGCAAACAUUAGCUAAAUGUAACAUUUAAGUGAUACCAAAGCCUGUCUGCAAAGAAAUGAACACCCUAAGGAAUAACAGCAUAGUGAUCCAUAUGUAUACAAUCAAAAGUAUUGUUUGGCAGUCGAUCCAAAAUUUCCCUAUCAGAAGAACUUGAACAAUAGUCCAGACUAUAAAAAUUCAAAAUAAAA
RNAcentral lists this long non-coding RNA (2380 nucleotides) under Daucus carota (carrot). Its description in RNAcentral is "long non-coding RNA (DCAR_LNC002619)". Lineage: Eukaryota; Viridiplantae; Streptophyta; Magnoliopsida; Apiales; Apiaceae. The record is from RNAcentral.